AAACUUGGCCGUUUCCCAGUAGUGACAUUCACUCACAUUCCACCUUUUGUUGAACCUGAAGUUUAAAAAUUAUAACAGUGCAUUGAAUCAUACACGAUGUUGCAACUGAAAUAUACAGGGACGAGGAUGGAUAUAACUUCCGAUAUUUUCCCGAUAUUAGAUACUAUUAUGACGAAAAAAUUCAACGACCACUCAGCUCAUACUAUGAUUAUCCAUUUAGAACAAGAGUAUGGGUUCCUUACAGAGGUUUGAGAGUAUUCUGUGAUUAUAUGCCCUCUGGUUAUCCAUUCGCAAUUCAGAGAACCAGCAAAGUUUCAUAUUUCGAUCACUACGAAACAAAGAAAUAUUUAGCAAUUAACUAGAACAUAAGCGCAUAGGAUUAUAUGCCAAUUAUAUUAUAUUUGUUUAAUAAGAGUUUUAUAAGAAACAACAGAGACAGUUUUAUAAAGAAAAAACAUAUUUGUAAAUAUCUUGUAUUUCAUUUAUAUGAUGUGUAUAAUUUAUAAUGAAUAUAGAGAAAUAAAAAUUUAAUUUUAAA
Sitophilus oryzae (rice weevil) is the source of this 538-nucleotide long non-coding RNA. RefSeq lists it as uncharacterized. NCBI's taxonomy places the organism in Eukaryota, Metazoa, Arthropoda, Insecta, Coleoptera, Curculionidae. The transcript is spliced from 4 exons. The record is from RefSeq and is a predicted model, not a curated record.